GAAUGCUGACAUAAGUAACGAUAAAGCGGGUGAAAAGCCCGCUCGCCGGAAGACCAAGGGUUCCUGUCCAACGUUAAUCGGGGCAGGGUGAGUCGACCCCUAAGGCGAGGCCGAAAGGCGUAGUCGAUGGGAAACGGGUUAAUAUUCCCGUACUUGGUGUUACUGCGAAGGGGGGACGGAGAAGGCUAUGUUGGCCGGGCGACGGUUGUCCCGGUUUAAGCGUGUAGGUGUGUGUUCCAGGUAAAUCCGGUUCACUUUAACACUGAGGCGUGAUGACGAGGCACUACGGUGCUGAAGUAACAAAUGCCCUGCUUCCAGGAAAAGCCUCUAAGCAUCAGGUAACAUCAAAUCGUACCCCAAACCGACACAGGUGGUCAGGUAGAGAAUACCAAGGCGCUUGAGAGAACUCGGGUGAAGGAACUAGGCAAAAUGGUGCCGUAACUUCGGGAGAAGGCACGCUGACACGUAGGUGAAGUGAUUUACUCACGGAGCUGAAGUCAGUCGAAGAUACCAGCUGGCUGC
RNAcentral lists this ribosomal RNA (522 nucleotides) under Salmonella enterica subsp. enterica serovar Berta. Its description in RNAcentral is "partial 23S ribosomal RNA". It matches the Rfam family "Bacterial large subunit ribosomal RNA", at positions 1292 to 1797 of the family's 2925-position model. The record is from RNAcentral. Lineage: Bacteria; Pseudomonadati; Pseudomonadota; Gammaproteobacteria; Enterobacterales; Enterobacteriaceae.